GAGUAACGCGUGAGGAACCUGCCUCAAAGAGGGGGACAACAGUUGGAAACGACUGCUAAUACCGCAUAAGCCCACGGGUCGGCAUCGACCUGAGGGAAAAGGAGUGAUCCGCUUUGAGAUGGCCUCGCGUCCGAUUAGCUAGUUGGUGAGGUAAUGGCCCACCAAGGCGACGAUCGGUAGCCGGACUGAGAGGUUGAACGGCCACAUUGGGACUGAGACACGGCCCAGACUCCUACGGGAGGCAGCAGUGGGGAAUAUUGCACAAUGGGGGAAACCCUGAUGCAGCGACGCCGCGUGGAGGAAGAAGGUCUUCGGAUUGUAAACUCCUGUUGUUGAGGAAGAUAAUGACGGUACUCAACAAGGAAGUGACGGCUAACUACGUGCCAGCAGCCGCGGUAAAACGUAGGUCACAAGCGUUGUCCGGAAUUACUGGGUGUAAAGGGAGCGCAGGCGGGAAGACAAGUUGGAAGUGAAAUCUAUGGGCUCAACCCAUAAACUGCUUUCAAAACUGUUUUUCUUGAGUAGUGCAGAGGUAGGCGGAAUUCCCGGUGU
RNAcentral lists this ribosomal RNA (552 nucleotides) under uncultured bacterium. RNAcentral's name for it is "bacterial SSU rRNA". It matches the Rfam family "Bacterial small subunit ribosomal RNA", at positions 108 to 676 of the family's 1533-position model. The record is from RNAcentral.